Molecule: ribosomal RNA, 408 nt
Filed under: uncultured bacterium
Lineage: Bacteria
Description: bacterial SSU rRNA
Rfam family: Bacterial small subunit ribosomal RNA
Source: RNAcentral
CAGCAGCCGCGGUAAUACGUAGGGUGCGAGCGUUGCCCGGAUUUAUUGGGCGUAAAGGGCGCGUAGGCGGUCACGCACGUCCGUUGUGAAAUCGCUCGGCUCAACUGGGCGGGGUCAGCGGAUACGGCGUGGCUGGAGCAAGCUAGGGGGCAAUGGAAUCCCGGUGUAGUGGUGGAAUGCGUAGAUAUCGGGAGGAACACCAGUGGCGAAGGCGGUUGCCUGGAGCUUUGCUGACGCUGAUGCGCGAAAGCGUGGGGAGCGAUCCGGAUUAGAUACCCGGGUAGUCCACGCCGUAAACGAUGCGGACUAGGUGUCGGGGGUAUCGACCCCCUCGGCGCCGCAGCUAACGCAUUAAGUCCGCCGCCUGGGGACUACGGCCGCAAGGCUAAAACUCAAAGGAAUUGACGG